This is a non-coding RNA of Cricetulus griseus (Chinese hamster), 2122 nucleotides long. Lineage: Eukaryota; Metazoa; Chordata; Mammalia; Rodentia; Cricetidae. The record is from RefSeq and is a predicted model, not a curated record.
CAGGUUGCCUAAUUUGGUCUUCUCUCCUUGUGCAACAUUCCCAUUUUGUUUACUGACGAGGAAGAUUGAGGCCUGCUCUGUAGAGAAUCAGGCCCAGAGCUCUUUUCUGUGGGAGCUUGGUACCAACCAGCACCGAAGCCCACCUGUCUAUCUCAGUUUGUAAGUGGGACAUAAGAGAUCCACCCAAGAGCAGAGUCUAUCGCAAUGUCACCCCAGCUGGCCAGUGGCCUGGCAGACAGGCCUUCUGAAUCCCGCUCCCAAACUCUGAAGUGUCGUCAUCCAGUCCCCAUCAAGACAGAGCUGACUUGCCACGACUUCCAAAGUCCUGUAUACCCCAGCCUCUCUGCCUUUCUUAUCUCCUCUAAUAAGAACAGAACUCUGCUAGAUCAAUGCAGGCUCCUGAUGGGCAGAAUCUGAGUCCCACAGUUGACUGUCAAUCUAACCCAGCCUCUGGCCCCAGCCCUUCAAGGCAGCUUCUCCUUGAACAUCUGCAAGAAUAACUCACUUCCUCUCUCAAGGCAGCAGGACCUGACUGCAAGCACCCAGCACACCUUGCUGUGCUAGGCUCCUGUUAUGCCCUCCUGUGACUUCAGAUUCUUUCAGUCUCCUAUUUGACAUCUCCACAAGGAGAUCCAAGAGGCCUUUUAGCAUGACCUUGUCCAAGUGUCUCAGAACACUGUAUAUGAGAUUUACCCCUUGAGUUCUGAGUGUCUAAAACAACAUCGUUAACUAGGAACUGGAACUUAAUUAUCUCACACAACCCAAACUUGAGAGAUGUUCCACGGCAAUACUCCACCCCCCCCCAUCAUCUCUCAAGCACAUCUGCCUCACCUGGGGAGCCUUAAAAAUAAGUGGAUACGGAGCUCUACCCCCAUGGCUCUGAUUUAACUGCUCUGGGUGUGUUUCCAGGGAGGCUCUUGGUGAAUGGUAAGGAACAUUAGAACCUCCAUUUUUUCGUAGUCUCUCUCGUCAUCUCACUGACCUCCUCUCCUGAAUACUUGCCCUAGACCACUAGCUCCACACUGGAGUCCUCUCCCUUUACCUUGUUGCCUUCUCUUUACUUGGUGACAUGGAGAGCAUCUACUUGGCUCACAGGCCCAUACCUCUGGGGAGUCUGCUCUUAGUCCUCUUUCUGAUUCCCCAUGGUCCCCAAGACUUCACUCCAUCCCAACACUCCCCACUCUGUGCCAGUCAUUAGUUUUCUUUCCUGGUCUCUGUCGCCAGGCAGGAAGUUCUUUAAAAAGAAGGGAUCUGACAGCACCAGCUUGCAGAUGACUGAAUGGGACCUAUUGCUCAGGGUGUGCUGAGCACAUACUGAGUGAAUGAAUGAAGAGUGAAUGGACAGACAUGGUUUAAACAGGUCAGAGGAAGAGCAUCCACGAGCAUCUUCAGCCAUCAAAAGCCUCUUCCUUUUCUGAUGUGGCCUAAGAUUAUCCUGUCUUAACUCCUGCAUUAUGGUUUGACGUUCUAUUAUUAUCUGAAAAUUCAGAUUUAAAUUAGCUUAGGAAUUAACACCAACUCGUCUUGAUCUUUUCCUUCAUGAACCUCUGACAUGCCAGAUCUUCCCCAUCCUGAAUGCGCACAACUGAUUUGAAGCCUAAAUAUAGAACUUUGCAUCAAUCCCUAUUAAAUCCUUUUUUUUUUUUUUUUGCACUGAGGGCCCCUACUUCCUGUUUGUCAAAAGCAACCGUUUUAUGUUCCUUAUCAUUAACUACUUCUCGAAACUCUGUGUGACCCACAAACAUGGUGGCAUGCUAUCCCUAAGGCACAGAAAAAGGCAGUGGCUUGUCACCAGUGACCUACUUCACAACCACUGCUAAUUCAUUUGUCAAUACUCUUCAGGACUGGUUUGUUAAUGAGUCACAAACCCAUAUCACGCCACAGUCAUUGAAGCCAAGUCUCCCCUCCUCACCCACGGGCUCCCAUGAUUGGUACAGUUUAAGCCUUUGCUAGUCAAGAUGUGCUGUGCUUGCUUAAAGCUCCCUUCUGUCCAAGGGACCAAUGCAUGUGCCAGUGAAGACAUCAAAGUGGUCUGGAAUGACUGGUUUUUAGUGACUCUGUGUGGAUUCCUCCUGUUGAGUUUCUCAGAUGGUCUGUUUAUUAAAAUCUUGUUGAAUUCUGA